This 1030-nucleotide ribosomal RNA is filed under the name Burkholderia sp. JKS000303. RNAcentral describes it as "bacterial LSU rRNA". It matches the Rfam family "Bacterial large subunit ribosomal RNA", at positions 1 to 1079 of the family's 2925-position model. The record is from RNAcentral. Lineage: Bacteria; Pseudomonadati; Pseudomonadota; Betaproteobacteria; Burkholderiales; Burkholderiaceae.
UAGGGUCAAGCGAACAAGUGCAUGUGGUGGAUGCCUUGGCGAUCACAGGCGAUAAGGACGCGGUAGCCUGCGAAAAGCUACGGGGAGCUGGCAAACAAGCUUGAUCCGUAGAUGUCCGAAUGGGGAAACCCACUCCUUUGGAGUAUCCAUAGCUGAAUACAUAGGCUAUGCGAAGCGAACGCGGUGAACUGAAACAUCUAAGUAACCGCAGGAAAAGAAAUCAACCGAGAUUCCCAAAGUAGUGGCGAGCGAAAUGGGAUGAGCCUUGCACUCUUAUUUGUAUUGUUAGCCGAACACUCUGGAAAGUGUGGCCAUAGCGGGUGAUAGCCCCGUAGGCGAAAACAGUACGAAAGAACUAGGUGUGCGACAAGUAGGGCGGGACACGUGAAAUCCUGUCUGAAGAUGGGGGGACCAUCCUCCAAGGCUAAUACUCGUGAUCGACCGAUAGUGAACCAGUACCGUGAGGGAAAGGUGAAAAGAACCCCGGGAGGGGAGUGAAAUAGAUCCUGAAACCGCAUGCAUACAAACAGUCGGAGCCUCGAAAGGGGUGACGGCGUACCUUUUGUAUAAUGGGUCAGCGACUUACGUUCAGUAGCAAGCUUAACCGUAUAGGGCAGGCGUAGCGAAAGCGAGUCCGAAUAGGGCGUUCAGUUGCUGGGCGUAGACCCGAAACCAAGUGAUCUAUCCAUGGCCAGGAUGAAGGUGCGGUAACACGUACUGGAGGUCCGAACCCACUAACGUUGAAAAGUUAGGGAUGAGCUGUGGAUAGGGGUGAAAGGCUAAACAAACUUGGAAAUAGCUGGUUCUCUCCGAAAACUAUUUAGGUAGUGCCUCGUGUCUCACCUUCGGGGUAGAGCACUGUCAUGGUUUGGGGGUCUAUUGCAGAUUACCCCGCCAUAGCAAACUCCGAAUACCGAAGAGUGCAAUCACGGGAGACAGACAUCGGGUGCUAACGUCCGGUGUCAAGAGGGAAACAACCCAGACCGCCAGCUAAGGUCCCCAAAUAUAGCUAAGUGGGAAACGAAGUGGG